AGCAGGAGCAUAAUUUGGCUCCCCUCUUAAUUGAUUUGGAAAUGUACCAAAGGAUUGUGGUAAUUCCUUUAAAUUUUACUCUCAUUCGAAUUUUGGAGGUAAACAUAAUGAGAAAGGAGAGUCGGCCCCACAUGUUGGAGGAAUAGAAAGGUCUAGCGCUUUAUUUUUACCCUGGGCCUAAGCAAAGCAAAUUCGCCAUGAAUACCUCAUUAUUUGAAUUUCAAAUAUUUCUCUCGAGUUGAGCACAAAAGGAAACUGAACAACAAAAAUAUAUAUAUAUUAACACACACACACAUGCAUCCCCUGAACCGUUUUUUCUCUUUCUUGAGUAUGUGACUCAGAAUGUCCUAGUUUAGGUUAUAACCGCACAAUUGCGAGGAUCAAUCAGCGCGAGAUAGAUGUGUUUACUCAGAAGGGCUUAGAAAGGAGGCCAGUCAAGGGGACAUUAGUAUCUUAAAACAUUGAAAUGAUCUUUACCGAAGAGCAUUAGGUAUGAGCAUUAAUAUGCGGGGCUUCUCUUCUGCUGGCAAAGCGUCUACAUUUGGAAGAGCCCAGAGGUCAGGGUGUAGAGGAAAGCGAGGAGGCGCUCAUUGGACGGAAGGCACGGCAGGCCAGAAGGAGCUCAGGAACUGGGUUCCUCCGUUUGUCCCCUCGCGUGCUCAUGCACAGUUACUCGGCAGUGUAGACAGACACAGUUACCCAGCAGUGUAGAUGGCAGAGCGAACCCGGGGGCCCUGCGGUCAAGCCCUGCCCCGCCGCGUUGUUAACCGUGCCGCCCGAGUGUGCUAUUAAACUGCCCCAGACCUCAGUUCCUACGCCCCUGAAAUGGGAUUAAUAAUAGUGUUAGGCCAGGAGUGAGCUCUGAACACACUCAGCGCGGUAAGUCCUCAAUGAAUGGCAGUGGUUUCGUUGCCUUUUCCACCCAGUGUUCUGCGCACCAGGCAGUGCUGAGUGAGGACAAAGGAUAAACCAGAUUGCCACGGGCCCUCUCCUCCUGGAGCUUAUCACCUAGACAGGGGGAAAGGGGCAAUUAUGAUCGUGGUGCUCCACCGACUGGGUCUGGAGCUCUCAGCUGUGUGCCGGAGAAAGCCCCUUAGCCACUCUGGUCCCGAGUCCUCCUUUGGGAAGUGGUGACGGAGCUCUCUCCACCUCCUACCGAGGGAGGUGUGAAAACCCACCAGAUAAAGCACCAGGAAUCUUGGAAACCAGAGGUCCUGGCUGGGGAAGGUCGUGUUCUCAUGUGUUUAACCCCUUUUGAGCCCAGGACCCAAGUGGCAUCAGGAAUGGAGACACCAGAGAACUCUCUUCCUUCUGGGUCAGGUUUUCCAGGACUCCCUGGGUCCAGCUGACUGCCCUUGUGUGGCCCAUUGUCCUAGGAGUCUGUGUGUUAUCCUCAGGACAGGGGUUGGGGCGUGACGGGGGCAUUGAAGCCGGGAAGGAAUGGGAUCGAGCUGGGUUGAGGAAGACAGUGUGGCUGUGGAUGGAGGGCAGCCUGGAGACAGAGGGCUCCGGAGAGGUGACGGGGACCCCGCUCCCAGGCCAGCUUUGGUCCGGCUCCUUGGAGCCCUCCUCUGGACUGGCCUCGACCUCGGUUUGCUCUUUGGUCUCAGAGCCUCAUUUUCCAGAGCAUCCUGCCACGCCCCUUUAGCAAGAAUCCCCCCACCUUCGCUAUCCAACCAAAUUCCUCUUAAUAAUUUCCCACCGGCCCUGACACUCUCGCCCUGCCCUUUGCUUAGAAAUCCCCAGUUGCUCCUGCAGGUUUGGGUGUUGAACUCAGCCUCGUACUGACAUAAAAUCUGUCUUGCCGUUUUUAGCAAGUGGUCGGUGCAAAGUGACUUUGGUGCGGGGCAAAGGCUGACCCGAGCAGAAGGUGGUGAGAGCAGGAAGGAAUGGGGGGAGAGGGCAUGCUUUAAAGCUAGAAUAGCAAAACUGGGGGCAGGGCAAGGCCAGGAAGGCACUGGGGACCCCCUGCAGGCUUCUGGGGGGGCAGCAGGGGUGUGGGAUCCCCGAGGCAGCGUGGCUUUUGGGUGAGAAGACCACGUUUGGUUUUGGGUUGUUGGAUUUGGCCCUUGGCACAGCCCUUUUGGUGUCUUCUGUGCAGAUGCCACCCUUUUGUGCUUCUCCGCCCCAUUCCCAAGACAACCGCCGAGUUCCAUCAGGGCCUGCGCCUCUUUAGCAGCUUCCCCUUCCCCUUCCCAAAACUCUCAAGAAGCUACUCUCCCUGGUGUCAGGUGCCUAAUUUAAACAGCAAAUCUGGGCUAACGUGCACAGCUCCUCUCGCUCUGCUGAGGUUUUUACAUUUUAACAGGGACACUUAGGAGGUAAUGCCUUUACCCCAAGACAAUGAAAUGACGUUUCAGAGGACACAGACUAAUGGUGGAGGGAAGAUUUCCAAAGCAGUGCCAAGAGCUUGGGCUUGGAGAUGGGACGAAGCAAGGUUGGCGUGCAAGCUCAAGGGGGGGCCUUUCUGUAGGGCUGGCUGGGUCAGUGGGGGGUGCCGGGCCUCCUUGGAGGAGCUGACCUAUCCUACCUGGGCGUGUCCCUCACCUUUCUGGGCCUCCUGAGGCCUCAUUCCUCAUUUGCAAGAGGGAUGAAGCAUGCCUGACCUGGCAAACAUAGCUUCCCCAUCCUGGUAAGUGCACGCUCACUCCCACCCCACUCCCCGACACCUGACACACACACACACACACACACACACACACACACAGGUCCUCUCCCUCAUGACCGGGCACCUGCUCGCUCAGUCUACCCCUUUCUCUCCCUUGACCUUUGUGCAUACCGGCUGUUUGUGUUUGGUCUGGAUUCCGAGUGAAGCAGGAUUCCAGCUGGAAAGCUUGUUGUUUCCAAAGAGGGGUGAUGGUGGCGAUGGUGGGGGGACGCUCACCCUUGUGGCACUGGGAGGCGGGAGCAGCGGAAGCCGGGGCUCACAGAAGGCGGCCCUAUAAUUAAUCCCCCAGCCCUCGCCACCAUUGUCUCUUCCCUAUUGAGAUCGGCCAAUUAGCGGUUCUGCACUCCUCUGCGUGGCAGCCACUUAUUAGUGAAGACAAAGGCAGCAUUGAUUCCAAUUUGUCCUGCAUUUGGCUGUCUCUGAAGUUAAAGAUUGCAUUUGGGUAUCACUGCUGGGGAAGGGAGGCAGGGGCAAUGUAGUGAGAGGGCCUAAAAUUAGCCGAAAUAAUUUUAGCUCUAUUGUGAAUGGCUAAACUAAAUAUAAACAGAAGGGAGAAGAAAAAUCUUUGUAAUGUUAAUUACCGUAAGCAUUGAGGACCCAAAAAUGAGGCGUACGAUUUGUUUGGUGACACUCUGAUAAUUAAAUCAUUUUCUCCCAUUGAGGCUCCUCGCAGGUUUACGCAGAGCCUGGCUCCUCCGGAGUGGUUUUCUCUGGCCCCGAGGGAUGCUCGAAAUUCUGUUUCCCACAUUUCUGAGUCCACAGUACGUCCCCAGUCCAGGCGAGCUGUGCUUGGUACCACUCCCGUGAGUCAUCACUCAAGUAAUUACCGGGUUUUGGAUGAGCCUGGGCCGGCAGAGGAUGAGCAGAGUUGAGAUCUGGGCUGAGGUGGACAGGAAGGCUGCUCACUGCGUCUCCGUCCAUCCAUCGGUUGGUCUGUCCAUCCAUCCGACCGUCCAUGUUCCUGCACCUUUUCAUCAAUUCACUCCACUGCCGUCGUCUUUUGUGCAAGGCACUGAGGGUACAGAGAGAAAAAAGGUGCCAUUCUUGUCCUCAAGGACAAGAGGGUGACAUGGCCACAGAGAACCACGUAUGACACGCUGUCCAAAGCCCCGUGACGGAGGUAUAAAGAGAAUAUUUGGAACGCAUCGUAGCGAGACACAUUCACUUUGCCCGAGGAGUCAUGGAAGACUUCUCAGAGGAGGUGGCAUUAGAGUUGGCACCAAAAGGAUGAAUUCCACCUCCCAAGCAGACCUUCACUUGCUACUUCUUAUUGGCUGGAAUUACAUCCCGUAUCCAUCCCAAGCCAACCAUGGAUAGGAGGAAUGGAAUUUCAAGGCAGUUUUUGACUAAUCACACAAGCUGGAAUGAAUAUUGGGGCAUUGACUGUAAUGCUCAUGACACACUGAGUGAGGUGACAUGCGUACCAUGAAAUACCCACAAGUAUACAUCACAUGGCUCUGUCCAGCUGCCAGAGCUGGGCUCUGAAUUGACCUCUGAGUUUCCCAGCAGCCAAGGCAAAACAGGAAAGCCAAACUCUUUAAACAUUGUACAGUUCCCUUACGUUCUAAAGGAAGCAGGUGCUCUGGAGAGCCCCAACACUUUCUGAAACUGGAAUCCAAAAACUGCAGUCGUUCUUCCCGAGUAAUGCAUUGUGGAAGGUCAUUUGCAGGCCGUACUCCCGGGCCGAGCGCAGUAGCAGGCUUUGUACGGCUAUUUCGUACAACGCCUCAAUCAAUGCAAGCUAACGGAAAAGUUUGAGAGCCUUAGCACCAAAGUUCAAUUUAAAAAGUGAUUCAGGGGUAGGAGAGAGAGAGAGAGAGAGAGAGAGAGAGUAGGAGAGGCAGGCUAGAGCAAAUAGCACGCGGUACAUACCCAGCCUCUGAUGGAUGACACUGAAUUGUGUCCACAGGUAGAAUUUAGGCUAGCUGAAGGAACGGAUGGAUAAUUUGUCUUUCAGGCAGCCCACCACGAACAUCAUUUUUUCCCAGCAAAGUUUUUGAUAAAGAAGGGGCAGCAGAGAGUUCGAGGUUGCGUUCUCUGGUAAGGACCUACAUGAAGAUUUUCUCAGAUAUUCAUACGUUUUGACAGUUGGCAGAGUAGAUGGGACAGAUUUUGAAUAAGAAUAGAGGAGCCUGACCAGGAGACAUGCACCUGAAUGGAUGUCACAGAUGUGGGUGUUAUUAUAUCCAGCCCCCUCCCCCACCCCGCUUACGAGAUUGGUAUUUUUUAAACCCAUAUUCAGGGCUUUAUACUUAACUAGGGCGACCAGGUCCCAGCAUUCCCUUUUUGGUUGGUGUCGUUUGUACUCUUUAAACGUGAUCCAUUUUGCAGAGAAAUUACAUGGCCUCUCUCUACCCACCCCAACUGGCAUAGAUCUUGUUAGCUCCCCAACCCAGUGGAGCCUCUGAAUCUUGAGUCCGCUACAAAAUAUGUUUCCUCCUCCACCUGCAAAUCUGAUCAUAGAAGGGGUCAUCCUUGUCUUAAAUGAAGGCCCACAGAGCCUGAGCUGGGAGCCGCGUUGGAGAGACCACAUAGAGAAGACAGCCCGGGACAACCCCGGAGAAGAGCCCCAGCCUGCUUGUCACUCCCUUCAAGAACAAGACCAGGCAAUGGGCCACCCUGCAAAUUUCAGCCUGGCCAAGUCCCCGGAUGACUACAUGCAUACCUGUCUGACCUCACGUGACCAGAACCACCCAGCUGAGCCCAGUCAAGUCUCAGAAUCAACCCUCUACGAAACUGGUUUGGGGAGGGGGUAUGUUAGCCACAGUAGAGUCAUGGGUCAGGGUAUCUCUCCCUGUCUCUAGCCCCACACAGGGAAGGGCUGCUGAGCUGGGGCGGCCGAUGAGGGGUUGGGGGCAGGCAAGGUCUUGGACAAGGCAGUUUGCUCCUUCCCUUCUCUCCUUCUGUCUCGCUUUUGGUUUAUUUGUUUUUUUCUUGUGUCCUCUGACCUGGGCUCGGGCCUGCCUCAGUCUAAGCGGACGGCGGCGAUAGGCACCUGUGCCUUGCCUGGCGGUGCCCUCGGAGCGGGGUCAUAGGCGUGUUGGAAUUCCACGAGCAUGCCACCGGGCAGACAGGCAUCUGCUUAAGUGGGUAAUUUCUUCAAGGGGGAGAGGCAGUCUGCGCUGUGCCUGGAAUCCUAAUGGGGGAGGCCUCUCAGAGUGCACAUUUAAGCUUGGGAGCACUGUAGCUGGACCCCAGCUAGUGCCUGAGCUGUGGUCCCCAACUUGAGACUCAGACCCAUCUGAGGACUGCAAACAGAGGAAAGCAGGAGAGAAAAGAAAGGAGAUUUGGGAUCAUUGGCCACAAAGGUCCAAGAGCCCCCUGGAAAAACUUACCCUAAAUGAAGAGGGGAUGAUUGGGUACAGUCAGUUCAGCUUGCGGGCCUGCCUGUGUGCCUGGAGAAGCAGUUUCCGGAGCAGGCUGGGGCAACCCCUGGCUUCCAGCGUCCUGAGUUAGCCCCUGUGCCCAACGAGCAUUCAGGGCACAGGCUGCGUGGACAGGCCCGGGAUCACAGUGACACAGGCAAGUGGCCUGCAGAGUGAGACCGAGAAAGCCUUUACCCCGAGAGCUACAGGAGGGAGCACCAGCUGAAGGGUUGUACCCCGGGGGGGGGCUCAUUUGCCCCCCGAGAGUCCCAGCCUUGGUGAGGGGCACCUGCACCCCUCGCCGCAUGCAGCACUGGUGCCCUGGACGCUGGCAUGUUCCGAGCAGACGGCAGAGGCCCACAGGGUAGCACGUUGCCCUGGGAGGGUGGGGGCACCUCUGGUAUGUGGGGUCUGCAAUGAGAAAGUAGCAGAAGCCCCACAGUGGCCUGCAUGUCCACGACGUGCUCCUGGGAGGUGCUGGAGGAUUGUGGGAGCUGGCCGCAGGGUGAGGGUGCAGUUCCCCUCACGGGGGCGGAGGGCAGAGCCAGCGAAAUGCCAGCUUGUGGCCGUUACUGUGAGCUUGUUCUUACAUGUGGAGCUGUGGUGGCUUAGAAAACAGGUCACAUUGCUGUGAUGCGCGGUGUCACCUUCCUGUGCCCAGCACCACCGGGUCAGGCCAACCGUCCUGGGCACGGACAGGUAUUAUCAUCUUGUGUGCAUAUGUGAGCAAAGUGAGGCUCUCGGGUGGCCACGCUGCGGACCCCCCAGGUCACUUCACUGACGUUUUGGACUGGAAAGGUCUGCAGAGAGCUCUGUGCCACCUGCUCCGUGUGCACGCAGGGAAACGAGGGCUGGGAAGCUGAAGCGUGUGCUCACCGUCACCCCGCGAGUCAAGCAAUGGAGUGACCCCCACUGGAUCUUCUUCUUUUAAAAAAUAUUUUAUUUAUUUAAGAUAGAAAGAGAGAGAGAAGGAGCAGAUGGAGAGUGAGAAACUCCUGCUGAGCAGAGAGCCUGAUGCAGGUCUCGAUCCCAGGACCCAGGAUCAAGACCUGAGCUGAAGGCAGAUGCCCAACCGCUGAGCCACCCGGGUGCUCCUGAAUCUUCUUUAAUUUCCACGGUUCUCUAUCUUGCAUCUCCCAAUUGAGGCUUGACCGUCCACCCUGGAUUUCUAACCUGAGGACAAAUCCCACCCCAACCUGCUGUGUUGACAGGCCCAGUGGACAGGGCAUGGACAGGUUUUGGGGUGCACGUGGGUCUUCUCUGCCUGAGUCCCCUCCCUCCCCUUCCAGGUUCGUCUGUGAGUUUAACCCAUGUGGGGGAGCUCAAGUAGGACUCGCCGCAGAUCCUCCUCAGCUGGAAGAUUCCAGUUCUGUCCCCGGCUGUGCCCCCCUCCACCCGGGGGCUCCCCUGACCCCCAAGGAAAAGCAGAAGGACGAAGUCCAGCCCUGCGGCAGCGUGAGGGUCACCCCCUGCAGGCCAGACGCUCUUUGCCUCGCCCCGGGUCCCCUGCCAGGCAGCCACUGCGUCUUCGAAGCUUGAGCCUGUGUUAACUGCUCUUAAAAAAAAAAUAUGUUUUAAAGCAAUAA
This is an RNA transcript of Canis lupus familiaris (dog), 7619 nucleotides long. RefSeq lists it as uncharacterized. NCBI's taxonomy places the organism in Eukaryota, Metazoa, Chordata, Mammalia, Carnivora, Canidae. The record is from RefSeq and is a predicted model, not a curated record. The transcript has 3 exons.